RNAcentral lists this ribosomal RNA (440 nucleotides) under uncultured bacterium. Its description in RNAcentral is "partial 16S ribosomal RNA". It matches the Rfam family "Bacterial small subunit ribosomal RNA", at positions 338 to 795 of the family's 1533-position model. The record is from RNAcentral.
CCUACGGGAGGCAGCAGUGGGGAAUAUUGCACAAUGGGGGAAACCCUGAUGCAGCAACGCCGCGUGAGUGAUGACGGCCUUAGGGUUGUAAAGCUCUGUCGUCAGGGACGAUAAUGACGGUACCUGAGGAGUAAGCCACGGCUAACUACGUGCCAGCAGCCGCGGUAAUACGGAGGGUGCGAGCGUUGUCCGGAUUUACUGGGCGGAAAGGGAGCGUAGGCGGGCUUUUAAGUGAGAUGUGAAAUACUCGUGCUUAACUUGAGUGCUGCAUUUCAAACUGGUAGUCUAGAGUGCAGGAGAGGAGAAUGGAAUUCUUAGUGUAGCGGUGAAAUGCGUAGAGAUUAGGAAGAACACUAGUGGCGAAGGCGAUCCUCUGGACUGUAACUGACGCUGAGGCUCGAAAGCGUGGGGAGCAAACAGGAUUAGAUACCCGUGUAGUC